UCGAGAAUCUUCCGCAAUGGGCGAAAGCCUGACGGAGCGACGCCGCGUGUGGGACGAAGGCCCUUGGGUUGUAAACCACUGUCACGAGUUAUGAAGGCGCGUUAUCUAAUAGGUGUCGUGUUGACGUAAGCUCGAGAGGAAGCACCGGCUAACUCUGUGCCAGCAGCCGCGGUAAUACAGAGGGUGCAAACGUUGUUCGGAAUUACUGGGCAUAAAGCGCACGUAGGCGGCCAUGUAAGUCGGAAGUGAAAGCCCCUGGCUCACCCAGGGAGGGUCUUUCGAUACUGCAUGGCUCGAGGAUGGUAGGGGAGAGCGGAACUCCUGGUGGAGCGGUGAAAUGCGUAGAUAUCAGGAGGAACACCGGAGGCGAAGGCGGCUCUCUAGUCCAUUACUGACGCUGAGGUGCGAAAGCUAGGGUAGCGAACGGGAUUAGAUACCCCCGUAGUCC
RNAcentral lists this ribosomal RNA (448 nucleotides) under uncultured prokaryote. RNAcentral's name for it is "bacterial SSU rRNA". It matches the Rfam family "Bacterial small subunit ribosomal RNA", at positions 355 to 796 of the family's 1533-position model. The record is from RNAcentral.